Molecule: ribosomal RNA, 253 nt
Filed under: uncultured bacterium
Lineage: Bacteria
Description: partial 16S ribosomal RNA
Rfam family: Bacterial small subunit ribosomal RNA
Source: RNAcentral
UACGUAGGGUGCGAGCGUUAAUCGGAAUUACUGGGCGUAAAGCGUGCGCAGGCGGUUAUGUAAGUCAGAUGUGAAAUCCCCGGGCUCAACCUGGGAACUGCAUUUGUGACUGCAUCGCUGGAGUGCGGCAGAGGGGGAUGGAAUUCCGCGUGUAGCAGUGAAAUGCGUAGAUAUGCGGAGGAACACCGAUGGCGAAGGCAAUCCCCUGGGCCUGCACUGACGCUCAUGCACGAAAGCGUGGGGAGCAAACAGG